UGGUUAGCGGCGGACGGGUGAGUAACACGUAGGCAACCUGCCCUCAAGCUUGGGACAACUACCGGAAACGGUAGCUAAUACCGAAUACUUGCUUCCUUCGCCUGAAGGGAGCUGGAAAGACGGAGCAAUCUGUCACUUGAGGAUGGGCCUGCGGCGCAUUAGCUAGUUGGUGAGGUAACGGCUCACCAAGGCGACGAUGCGUAGCCGACCUGAGAGGGUGAUCGGCCACACUGGGACUGAGACACGGCCCAGACUCCUACGGGAGGCAGCAGUAGGGAAUCUUCCGCAAUGGGCGAAAGCCUGACGGAGCAAUGCCGCGUGAGUGAUGAAGGUUUUCGGAUCGUAAAGCUCUGUUGCCAGGGAAGAACGUCCUUGAGAGUAACUGCUCAAGGAGUGACGGUACCUGAGAAGAAAGCCCCGGCUAACUACGUGCCAGCAGCCGCGGUAAUACGUAGGGGGCAAGCGUUGUCCGGAAUUAUUGGGCGUAAAGCGCGCGCAGGCGGUCAUUUAAGUCUGGUGUUUAAUCCCGGGGCUCAACCCCGGAUCGCACUGGAAACUGGAUGACUUGAGUG
Molecule: ribosomal RNA, 572 nt
Filed under: uncultured Paenibacillus sp.
Lineage: Bacteria; Bacillati; Bacillota; Bacilli; Caryophanales; Paenibacillaceae
Description: bacterial SSU rRNA
Rfam family: Bacterial small subunit ribosomal RNA
Source: RNAcentral